RNAcentral lists this ribosomal RNA (496 nucleotides) under uncultured bacterium. RNAcentral describes it as "partial 16S ribosomal RNA". It matches the Rfam family "Bacterial small subunit ribosomal RNA", at positions 29 to 507 of the family's 1533-position model. The record is from RNAcentral.
AUGCACGCUGGCGGCGUGCCUAAUCCCUGCAAGUCGCGCGAACGGACGAGAAGCUUGCUUUUCUGAUGUUAGCGGCGGACGGGUGAGUAACACGUGGAUAACCUACCUAUAAGACUGGGAUAACUUCGGGAAACCGGAGCUAAUACCGGAUAAUAUUUUGAACCGCAUGGUUCAAAAGUGAAAGACGGUCUUGCUGUCACUUAUAGAUGGAUCCGCGCUGCAUUAGCUAGUUGGUAAGGUAACGGCUUACCAAGGCAACGAUGCAUAGCCGACCUGAGAGGGUGAUCGGCCACACUGGAACUGAGACACGGUCCAGACUCCUACGGGAGGCAGCAGUAGGGAAUCUUCCGCAAUGGGCGAAAGCCUGACGGAGCAACGCCGCGUGAGUGAUGAAGGUCUUCGGAUCGUAAAACUCUGUUAUUAGGGAAGAACAUAUGUGUAAGUAACUGUGCACAUCUUGACGGUACCUAAUCAGAAAGCCACGGCUAACUACGUG